Populus nigra (black poplar) is the source of this 107-nucleotide small nucleolar RNA. Lineage: Eukaryota; Viridiplantae; Streptophyta; Magnoliopsida; Malpighiales; Salicaceae. The record is from RefSeq and is a predicted model, not a curated record.
AAUCCAUGGUGAGGGCAUCGCCUAAGCAAAUCCUUAUAUCUCUCUCAUGCCUCAUAUAGUUUUUCACUCUCAAGUUGGGCGAAAUUAAAGAUUUUAAUACACAUCUU